RNAcentral lists this ribosomal RNA (706 nucleotides) under Pseudothyridariella mahakashae. Its description in RNAcentral is "partial 28S ribosomal RNA". It matches the Rfam family "Eukaryotic large subunit ribosomal RNA", at positions 188 to 910 of the family's 3401-position model. The record is from RNAcentral. Lineage: Eukaryota; Fungi; Ascomycota; Dothideomycetes; Pleosporales; Thyridariaceae.
CCUUGGAACAGGACGUCACAGAGGGUGAGAAUCCCGUACGUGGCCGCCAGCCUUCGCCGUGUAAAGCCCCUUCGACGAGUCGAGUUGUUUGGGAAUGCAGCUCUAAAUGGGAGAUAAAUUUCUUCUAAAGCUAAAUACUGGCCAGAGACCGAUAGCGCACAAGUAGAGUGAUCGAAAGAUGAAAAGCACUUUGGAAAGAGAGUCAAAAAGCACGUGAAAUUGUUGAAAGGGAAGCGCUUGCAGCCAGACGUGCCCGCAGUUGCUCACCCAGGCUCUCGCCUGGGGCACUCUUCUGCGGGCAGGCCAGCAUCAGUUCGGGCGGUUGGAUAAAGAUCACUUUCACGUAACUGGCCUUCGGGCUUGUCCUUAUAGAGGUGAUGCAACACUGCCAGCCCGGACUGAGGACCGCGCAUCAGCUAGGAUGCUGGCGUAAUGGCUGUAAGCGGCCCGUCUUGAAACACGGACCAAGGAGUCUAACAUCUAUGCGAGUGUUUGGGUGUCAAGCCCGGGCGCGCAAUGAAAGUGAACGGAGGUGGGAACCUUUUGAGGUGCACCAUCGACCGAUCCUGAAGUCUUCGGAUGGAUUUGAGUAAGAGCAUAGCUGUUGGGACCCGAAAGAUGGUGAACUAUACUUGGAUAGGGUGAAGCCAGGGGAAACCCUGGUGGAGGCUCGCAGCGGUUCUGACGUGCAAAUCGAUCGUCAAAU